This 253-nucleotide ribosomal RNA is filed under the name uncultured bacterium. RNAcentral describes it as "partial 16S ribosomal RNA". It matches the Rfam family "Bacterial small subunit ribosomal RNA", at positions 524 to 776 of the family's 1533-position model. The record is from RNAcentral.
UACGUAGGGGGCAAGCGUUGUCCGGAUUUAUUGGGCGUAAAGAGCGUGUAGGCGGCCAGACAGGUCCGUUGUGAAAACUCGAGGCUCAACCUCGAGAUGUCGAUGGAAACCGUCUGGCUAGAGUCCGGAAGAGGAGUGUGGAAUUCCUGGUGUAGCGGUGAAAUGCGCAGAUAUCAGGAGGAACACCAAUGGCGAAGGCAGCUCGCUGGGACGGUACUGACGCUGAGACGCGAAAGCGUGGGGAGCAAACAGG